AGAGUUUGAUCAUGGCUCAGAUUGAACGCUGGCGGAAUGCUUUACACAUGCAAGUCGAGCGGCAGCGCGGGGCNNCCUGGCGGCGAGCGGCGAACGGGUGAGUAACAUAUCGGGACGUAUCCAUAAGUGGGGGGACAACCUGGCGAAAGCCAGGCUAAUACCGCAUACGCUCGAGAGAGGAAAGUGGGGGAUCGCAAGACCUCACGCUUUAGGAGCGGCCGAUAUCAGAUUAGCUAGAUGGUGAGGUAAAGGCUUACCAUGGCGACGAUCUGUAGCUGGUCUGAGAGGAUGAUCAGCCACACUGGGACUGAGACACGGCCCAGACUCCUACGGGAGGCAGCAGUGGGGAAUUUUGGACAAUGGGGGCAACCCUGAUCCAGCCAUUCCGCGUGAGUGAAGAAGGCCUUCGGGUUGUAAAGCUCUUUUGUUCGGGACGAAACGGUUUCACCUAAUACGUGAGACUACUGACGGUACCGGAAGAAUAAGCACCGGCUAACUACGUGCCAGCAGCCGCGGUAAUACGUAGGGUGCGAGCGUUAAUCGGAAUUACUGGGCGUAAAGCGUGCGCAGGCGGUUUUAUAAGCCAGAUGUGAAAGCCCCGGGCUCAACCUGGGAAUGGCAUUUGGGACUGUAAGGCUGGAGUAUGGCAGAGGAGACUAGAAUUCCUGGUGUAGCAGUGAAAUGCGUAGAUAUCAGGAGGAAUACCGAUGGCGAAGGCAGGUCUCUGGGCCAAUACUGACGCUCAUGCACGAAAGCGUGGGGAGCAAACAGGAUUAGAUACCCUAGUAGUCC
This 792-nucleotide ribosomal RNA is filed under the name uncultured bacterium. RNAcentral describes it as "bacterial SSU rRNA". It matches the Rfam family "Bacterial small subunit ribosomal RNA", at positions 8 to 796 of the family's 1533-position model. The record is from RNAcentral.